This 878-nucleotide ribosomal RNA is filed under the name uncultured bacterium. RNAcentral describes it as "bacterial SSU rRNA". It matches the Rfam family "Bacterial small subunit ribosomal RNA", at positions 8 to 916 of the family's 1533-position model. The record is from RNAcentral.
AGAGUUUGAUCCUGGCUCAGGACAAACGCUGGCGGAAUGUAUUAGGCAUGCAAGUCGCACGAACCUUCGGGUUAGUGGCGGACGGGUGAGUAACACGUGGGUAACCUGCCUCGUAGUGGGGAAUAACUCGCCGAAAGGCGAGCUAAUACCGCAUAACACCCUCGGUGAGAAUCCGAGUGGUAAAAGCUCCGGCGCUAUGAGAGGGGCCCGCGGCCGAUUAGCUUGUUGGUGGGGUAAUGGCCUACCAAGGCGACGAUCGGUAGCUGGUCUGAGAGGAUGGUCAGCCACACGGGGACUGAGAUACGGCCCCGACUCCUACGGGAGGCAGCAGCUAAGAAUCUUGCGCAAUGGGCGAAAGCCUGACGCAGCAAUUCCGCGUGGGGGACGAAGGCCCUCGGGUCGUAAACCCCUUUUGUGAGGGAAGAAGUUCUGACGGUACCUCACGAAUAAGACACGGCUAACUACGUGCCAGCAGCCACGGUAAUACGUAGGUGUCGAGCGUUGUCCGGAUUUAUUGGGCGUAAAGCGCCCGCAGGCGGCUUGGUAAGUUCGAGGUGAAAUCUCCCGGCUCAACUGGGAGGGUGCCUCGAAAACUAUCAGGCUUGAGGCAGGGAGAGGGAUGUGGAAUUCCCGGUGUAGUGGUGAAAUGCGUAGAUAUCGGGAGGAACACCAGUGGCGAAGGCGGCAUCCUGGCCCUGUCCUGACGCUCAGGGGCGAAAGCGUGGGGAGCAAACCGGAUUAGAUACCCGGGUAGUCCACGCCGUAAACGAUGAGUACUAGGUGUAGGGGGUAUCGACCCCCUCUGUGCCGAAGCUAACGCGAUAAGUACUCCGCCUGGGGACUACGGCCGCAAGGCUAAAACUCAAAGGAAUUGAUGG